AACGAACGCUGGCGGCAGGCCUAACACAUGCAAGUCGAGCGGGGACUUCGGUCCUAGCGGCGGACGGGUGAGUAACGCGUGGGAACGUGCCCUUUGCUUCGGAAUAGCCCCUGGAAACGGGGAGUAAUACCGGAUGUGCUCGAGAGAGGAAAGAUUUUUCGGCAAAGGAUCGGCCCGCGUUGGAUUAGGUAGUUGGUGGGGUAAUGGCCUACCAAGCCGACGAUCCAUAGCUGGUUUGAGAGGAUGAUCAGCCACACUGGGACUGAGACACGGCCCAGACUCCUACGGGAGGCAGCAGUGGGGGAAUCUUAGACAAUGGGCGCAAGACCUGAUCUAGCCAUGCCGCGUGAGCGAUGAAGGCCUAGGUUGUAAAG
This 374-nucleotide ribosomal RNA is filed under the name uncultured bacterium. RNAcentral's name for it is "bacterial SSU rRNA". It matches the Rfam family "Bacterial small subunit ribosomal RNA", at positions 29 to 430 of the family's 1533-position model. The record is from RNAcentral.